Chaetura pelagica (chimney swift) is the source of this 46-nucleotide non-coding RNA. Lineage: Eukaryota; Metazoa; Chordata; Aves; Apodiformes; Apodidae. The record is from Rfam.
CAAAUGGUUCUAUUUAGAACCAUCCCAAAACUCAUUGCAGUGUAUG